This is a long non-coding RNA of Sphaeramia orbicularis (orbiculate cardinalfish), 659 nucleotides long. RefSeq lists it as uncharacterized. Lineage: Eukaryota; Metazoa; Chordata; Actinopteri; Kurtiformes; Apogonidae. The record is from RefSeq and is a predicted model, not a curated record. The transcript has 2 exons.
AAACACUCUAAGGCUACGUUCAGACAGCAGGUCUUAAUGCACAAUUUGCAUUUUUUGGGUGAAAUCUGACUUUUGUGUGUGUGUUCGUUCAUAUUACACAUUAUAUCCGACUUCCAUCAGUUUUGUGUAUGAACUGAAUGCGACCCUGAAGUGACCCACAUGCACAAAACAGGUCCUGACCUAAUACAUGACCACGCAGACACGCUGUGUUUACGGAACUGAGUAUGUUUUUCCCACUGCUUCUCCUCCAGGGACGCAGAAUUAUGAUCAUGUUUGUCGCAUUUCGAUGAGGUAAAGGUCGGAUAAAUGCGACCUGGCCGUUCAGACUAAAGUCACAUUGCAAAUUAUCAGAUACGUAUGAAAGUGGCCUGGGUCGUAUUUGAAAAAAUCGGAUUUGCGCUGUUCAAAUUGUCUGUAACAGAUCGGAUACAGGUCACAUAUGGGCAAAAAAAUCGGAUUAGCGCCACAUUUGCCUGCCGUCUGAACGAAGCCUAAAUCAAAUGACUAGUAUGUCUAUGCAGCGAGAUACAUCCUCACAAUAAUAUCUAAGUUUUCAGAAUAAUAAACAAUAAUUUCAGUUCCCCAAAUAAUGAGCUACAUAAUGGGAUAUAUUUACAAGAUAAUAAAAAAAAAAAAACAACUUUCUCAUAAUAAUGAUU